Molecule: ribosomal RNA, 497 nt
Filed under: uncultured bacterium
Lineage: Bacteria
Description: partial 16S ribosomal RNA
Rfam family: Bacterial small subunit ribosomal RNA
Source: RNAcentral
ACUCAAAUGAAUUGACGGGGGCCCGCACAAGCGGUGGAGCAUGUGGUUUAAUUCGACGCAACGCGAAGAACCUUACCCAGGCUCGAACGGCAGACGACAUCCGGCGAAAGCCGGCUCCCGCAAGGGCGUCUGUCGAGGUGCUGCAUGGCUGUCGUCAGCUCGUGUCGUGAGAUGUUGGGUUAAGUCCCGCAACGAGCGCAACCCUUGUCUUCUGUUGCCAUCAGGUCACGCUGGGCACUCUGAAGAGACUGCCGGUGACAAACCGGAGGAAGGUGGGGAUGACGUCAAGUCAGCAUGGCCUUUAUGUCUGGGGCCACACACGUGCUACAAUGGCCGGUACAAACCGUCGCGAGCCCGUAAGGGGGAGCUAAUCGGAGAAAGCCGGUCUCAGUUCGGAUUGUCGGCUGCAACUCGCCGGCAUGAAGUUGGAAUCGCUAGUAAUCGCGGAUCAGCACGCCGCGGUGAAUACGUUCCCGGGCCUUGUACACACCGCCCGU